AACGAACGCUGGCGGCGCGUCUUAAGCAUGCAAGUCGGACGGCAAGGCGGGAGCUUGCUCCUGCCCUAGAGUGGCGGACUGGUGAGUAACACGUGGGUGACAUACCCUCUGGUUGGGGACAACAUUCCGAAAGGAGUGCUAAUACCGAAUGUGACGAUUUUACCGCAUGGUUUAAUCGUGAAAGAUGGCCUCUACAUGUAAGCUAUCGCCAAAGGAUGGGCCUGCGUCUGAUUAGCUAGUUGGUGGGGUAACGGCUCACCAAGGCGACGAUCAGUAGGGGUUCUGAGAGGAAGGUCCCCCACAUUGGAACUGAGACACGGUCCAAACUCCUACGGGAGGCAGCAGUGAGGAAUAUUGGGCAAUGGGGGCAACCCUGACCCAGCAACGCCGCGUGAAGGAAGAAGGCUUUCGGGUUGUAAACUUCUUUGACGAGGGACGAAUAAAUGACGGUACCUCGAAAACAAGCCACGGCUAACUACGUG
RNAcentral lists this ribosomal RNA (482 nucleotides) under uncultured bacterium. RNAcentral describes it as "bacterial SSU rRNA". It matches the Rfam family "Bacterial small subunit ribosomal RNA", at positions 29 to 507 of the family's 1533-position model. The record is from RNAcentral.